This 208-nucleotide unclassified non-coding RNA is filed under the name Hevea brasiliensis (rubber tree). Lineage: Eukaryota; Viridiplantae; Streptophyta; Magnoliopsida; Malpighiales; Euphorbiaceae. The record is from RNAcentral.
CAAUUUACAGCAUAUUCUCUCAUCAGUCAACACUUCAUGCAAGAAUGGAUUUCUGAUUGCUCGCAUGCAUGGGCUUGCACUGCAGAGAAUUACUAAUUCUAUAUAGAAAUUGCACAGGUUCAUAAUUUCUCUUGUUUGAUCUCCUAGCAAAGAAGAAAUAGUUCUGCCAUCUCAAAUAACCCAACUCAGUUGGAGAUGUAACUUUUUG